CUAACUGGAGGACCGAACCGACUAAUGUUGAAAAAUUAGCGGAUGACUUGUGGCUGGGGGUGAAAGGCCAAUCAAACCGGGAGAUAGCUGGUUCUCCCCGAAAGCUAUUUAGGUAGCGCCUCGUGAAUUCAUCUUCGGGGGUAGAGCACUGUUUCGGCUAGGGGGCCAUCCCGGCUUACCAACCCGAUGCAAACUACGAAUACCGAAGAAUGUUAUCACGGGAGACACACGGCGGGUGCUAACGUCCGUCGUGAA
RNAcentral lists this ribosomal RNA (255 nucleotides) under Enterobacter ludwigii. Its description in RNAcentral is "partial 23S ribosomal RNA". It matches the Rfam family "Bacterial large subunit ribosomal RNA", at positions 762 to 1014 of the family's 2925-position model. The record is from RNAcentral. RNAcentral also lists the same sequence under 5 other names. Lineage: Bacteria; Pseudomonadati; Pseudomonadota; Gammaproteobacteria; Enterobacterales; Enterobacteriaceae.